UCUCAGUUGAGCUUAAACUUCGUUACGAUAUCUUUUUUUCACUACGCGUCGGGUUAAGAAAUUAUUCUGCGGGGUUCUCAGCUCUUCAACGCUAUUAAUUCACGAAGCCAGCCUAGGGGUACAAAUCAAAUAGAAAUUGAACGCGAAAUCUCUACCUGUUAAAUCGUACGAUUUAUAAUAACAAACGAUCUUCCAACCAACAACAAUAAUUCAACUGUACAACUGAAGCUGAAUAAAAUUUACAUAAUCAAUUUUAUAUUUGUCCAUCGUGUGACGGGGUAAAAUGAGUUAUAUUAUCGAUCGACAUCAUGAUUUUACACUGAUGGUCACUUACCGUACCUGUAACUCCAAACGAGCAUUCAAAUGAGUGUUUUCGACUUGACGCCGGGCGCACAAACUGAAGAGGCUUGCACACAACUUCCAAUCAUAAUUCGGUAGGGCUGAAAUAUUCCGAUAAUUGCCAAAGUCAAUCAAGUGAAUUUUCUAUAAACGCAAGACAGCAGCGGAUGAGAGACAGAGCCGGAAGAGCCGGGUGCCCAGCUAGACGCAGGACUGCCGACUACCCGAAUAUCAGGUAUCGAAGUAAAAAAAAAGAGAGAAUCAACUACGAGAGGACUAAGACGAAACAAAGAAAAGAAGUUGAGACGACCCGGACAUACAAGACCGAUAAGGACCAAGAGGACUCAUACAGGACAAACGACGAAGGAAGAAUCAACGUAAAUCGCGAUAGGUAUUGCGUAAAAUAUUCCAGGCAGAAAGACCGGAAUAUUUAUUAAUUAAAUACGCAGUCAUACGUCGUGUCCGCGGAGUGUUAUAUCAAUAUACGUGCAUUAAAUCGAAAACCAGAAUUAGAUAUAGCUUGUUCCGUUAAAUCCAGGGAUGGAGGCCGGAUUUACUAUGCAAUAGAAAUUUCCAGGCAGUUCGUGUGAACCACGUGCCAGGAGAUUUCUUGCAGAAUUUAGUGUCCGAUCUAGUCAUAAAUAAUUGAGUAUUAAAAUUAGAAUAAAUUAAUUAUAAUUAAAUUAAAAAAGUAAAUUGAGUAAAAUGGAUUGAAAGAUUAACUAAUGAUAAAAGUGUCGGAAAGUCAACGUGAGCAUUAAUGUUCAAGUUUUGAGUAUUGUGUAUAGAGUCGGUGAUCAAAUAUUAAUGCGUAAGAAUAAUUGAGGAAAUUAUUAGCUCGGCUUAUCAAAUUUAUUAUUAAAUUGAUAUAAGUUAAAUAUGAUCGUAGGUAAUUAAUUAAUUAUAUUGAUUUAAUUCGGAAAAUGAGUGAAAUGGAAUUUAAUAUAGUUAAAAGUGUGUGAUUUGUAAAAAGCGUAAUUAUAAAGUUAGUGAUAACGCCGGGGGCCAAGAUUGAUACUGAAAUAAUAAAUAAGUCUUAAUCACGUAGGAAGUCCAGGGGACCGCGUGAGAUAUGUUAAGGUUAAUCACGUAGAGGGUCGAGAUGACCGCGUGAAUAAGUUGUUGAGUCGUUUAGAGGGUCCAGGGGAUUGUGCGAUCUAGGUAUAAAGCUUUAGCCACGUAGAGGGUCUGGGUGACCGCGUGGAAUAGGUUGAUAAAAGUCGCGUGUUAUGUGUAAUAAAGUCCAGGAGACUCAAUGUGUGUGUGUGUGUGUGUGUGUGUGUGUGUGUGUGUGUGUGUGAUAGUCAAAGAUAGUUGACUUUAUAAAAGAUUGUUGGGUUAAUGUAUUAUAAGGUUUAAAAUAAAGUACGUGAAAUGUAGUUGACUAGUUAAGGUGAUCGAUUAAUGUUAAAAAGGUUUAAAAUAAGUUGUCGAAGGUAAUUGACUGAAUAAAUAAAGAGUAAAAAUAGU
Long non-coding RNA from Microplitis mediator, 1809 nucleotides. RefSeq lists it as uncharacterized. NCBI's taxonomy places the organism in Eukaryota, Metazoa, Arthropoda, Insecta, Hymenoptera, Braconidae. The transcript is spliced from 3 exons. The record is from RefSeq and is a predicted model, not a curated record.